Non-coding RNA from Mycena crocata, 93 nucleotides. NCBI's taxonomy places the organism in Eukaryota, Fungi, Basidiomycota, Agaricomycetes, Agaricales, Mycenaceae. The record is from the annotation of a GenBank genome assembly.
GGCCUGGUGGUGUAUCGGUAACACGUCUUCUCUGCUUCUGAAUAAGCAGAGGCACUUCAGAAGAAGCACCCCGUUCGAUUCGGGGCCAGGCCA